AUACGGAGGAUCCGAGCGUUAUCCGGAUUUAUUGGGUUUAAAGGGAGCGUAGGCGGACGCUCAAGUCAGUUGUGAAAGUUUGCGGCUCAACCGUAAAAUUGCAGUUGAUACUGGGUGUCUUGAGUACAGUAGAGGCAGGCGGAAUUCGUGGUGUAGCGGUGAAAUGCUUAGAUAUCACGAAGAACUCCGAUUGCGAAGGCAGCCUGCUGGACUGUAACUGACGCUGAUGCUCGAAAGUGUGGGUAUCAAACAGGAUUAGAUACCCUGGUAGUCCACACAGUAAACGAUGAAUACUCGCUGUUUGCGAUAUACAGUAAGCGGCCAAGCGAAAGCGUUAAGUAUUCCACCUGGGGAGUACGCCGGCAACGGUGAAACUCAAAUGAAUUGACGGGG
Molecule: ribosomal RNA, 393 nt
Filed under: uncultured bacterium
Lineage: Bacteria
Description: partial 16S ribosomal RNA
Rfam family: Bacterial small subunit ribosomal RNA
Source: RNAcentral